AAAUGUUCCGCGUGAGUCAGGCAUCUAAGAAGACGACCGUGCCCGGCAGGACCCCCGCCCAGGGCCUGCAUAUAUAGCUCGGGCCCGAGCUCGUCUUCCUUUUGUGUGCCCGGCUCCAGCGAGAUGGCGCCUGAGGUGUGCCGUCUGCCUGGUGUCCCCAUGGGCGAGCGCUGCGGAGCCGAGCGGAGGUACCGGGGGCGCUGCUGGGGCGAGGCUGUACCCCGGGCUGAGCGGGAUGAUUCACCUUGCAGACUAGAGUUUCUGAGGUUACCGUGACGCCGCUGCUUGAAACUGACCCAGCCCUGGCGCGGGGAGGUCGGCUGGCGCCUCCCUCGUCUCCGCUAGCGCAAAGGCCUUUUUUUUUCUCCUCAGGUUCCUGCGCCUGGAAGGCGGGCGAGCCUGCGCGGCGAGAUGUUCCUCAGGAGUCUUCAGGUAGCCGCCGUUUGUCACCCUUAAAUACAGCAUGAGAGUUCUGCAGCCCCAAGCAGGAGGGGAGCCCCUAACCUGAUGGUGGAAAAGCUAAGGUUUGGGCUCGGCCCCUUCCCUGAUGGUUGCGGUCCUACGAGGCCUGGAUAGCCUUCGUGCUGUGGCGCCUGCGGGCUGUGACCACAAUCACCAAGGCCUUUUUCCCGUUGCUGCAGAUUUUAGCUGGCAGAUGUCGUCUCCUGUCUGUCUGAUGCUGGGCAGAUGCUAAGAGCUUACGUCAUCCUGUGUUAAUCUGCAGGAACAGUCGUCAACUCCAGUUGGAAGUUUUAUGACACUAAGUAGAAAAUGUGUGCUUACAUUUAUUUUGGUUUUUGGAAGGAAGUACCUCUGCAAAACAACUAAUAAAGUACUUUAAAAAC
Long non-coding RNA from Octodon degus (degu), 845 nucleotides. RefSeq lists it as uncharacterized. The transcript has 4 exons. Lineage: Eukaryota; Metazoa; Chordata; Mammalia; Rodentia; Octodontidae. The record is from RefSeq and is a predicted model, not a curated record.